CACGUAGGGUGCGAGCGUUGUCCGGAAUUAUUGGGCGUAAAGAGCUCGUAGGCGGUGUGUCGCGUCGGCCGUGAAAACCUGCAGCUUAACUGUGGGCGUGCGGUCGAUACGGGCAUCACUGGAGUUCGGCAGGGGAGACUGGAAUUCCUGGUGUAGCGGUGAAAUGCGCAGAUAUCGGGAGGAACACCAGUGGCGAAGGCGGCACUCUGGGCCGGUACUGACGCUGAGGAGCGAAAGCGUGGGGAGCGAACAGG
Molecule: ribosomal RNA, 254 nt
Filed under: uncultured bacterium
Lineage: Bacteria
Description: partial 16S ribosomal RNA
Rfam family: Bacterial small subunit ribosomal RNA
Source: RNAcentral